GCGGAAGAGAUAAGUGCUGAAAGCAUCUAAGCACGAAACUUGCCCCGAGAUGAGUUCUCCCUGACUCCUUGAGAGUCCUGAAGGAACGUUGAAGACGACGACGUUGAUAGGCCGGGUGUGUAAGCGCAGCGAUGCGUUGAGCUAACCGGUACUAAUGAACCGUGAGGCUUAACCUUACAACGCCGAAGCUGUU
RNAcentral lists this ribosomal RNA (193 nucleotides) under Escherichia coli. RNAcentral's name for it is "partial 23S ribosomal RNA". It matches the Rfam family "Bacterial large subunit ribosomal RNA", at positions 2755 to 2925 of the family's 2925-position model. The record is from RNAcentral. Lineage: Bacteria; Pseudomonadati; Pseudomonadota; Gammaproteobacteria; Enterobacterales; Enterobacteriaceae.